GACGAACGCUGGCGGCGUGCUUAACACAUGCAAGUCGAACGGAAAGGCCUGCUUUCCCUUGUGGAUUGCGGGUACUCGAGUGGCGAACGGGUGAGUAACAAGUGAGUGAUCUGCCCCCAACUUGGGUAUAAGCCUGGGAAACUGGGUCUAAUUCCCGAUAGGACUGCAGGGUGGUGCCUGUGGUGGAAAACGAUUUUCUAGUGGUUGGGGAUGAGCUCGCGGCCUAUCAGCUUGUUGGUGGGGUAAUGGCCUACCAAGGCGGCGACGGGUAGCCGGCCUGAGAGGGUGGACGGCCACAUUGGGACUGAGAUACGGCCCAGACUCCUACGGGAGGCAGCAGUGGGGAAUAUUGCACAAUGGGCGGAAGCCUGAUGCAGCGACGCCGCGUGGGGGAUGACGGCCUUCGGGUUGUAAACUCCUUUCGACCGCGAGGAAGCCACCUGGUUGGAAGGGUGGUGACGGUAGUGGUAGAAGAAGCACCGGCUAACUACGUG
RNAcentral lists this ribosomal RNA (494 nucleotides) under uncultured bacterium. Its description in RNAcentral is "partial 16S ribosomal RNA". It matches the Rfam family "Bacterial small subunit ribosomal RNA", at positions 28 to 507 of the family's 1533-position model. The record is from RNAcentral.